RNAcentral lists this ribosomal RNA (497 nucleotides) under uncultured bacterium. RNAcentral describes it as "partial 16S ribosomal RNA". It matches the Rfam family "Bacterial small subunit ribosomal RNA", at positions 28 to 507 of the family's 1533-position model. The record is from RNAcentral.
GAUGAACGCUGGCGGCGUGCCUAAUACAUGCAAGUCGAGCGAACAGAUGAGGAGCUUGCUCCUCUGACGUUAGCGGCGGACGGGUGAGUAACACGUGGAUAACCUACCUAUAAGACUGGGAUAACUUCGGGAAACCGGAGCUAAUACCGGAUAAUAUAUUGAACCGCAUGGUUCAAUAGUGAAAGACGGUUUUGCUGUCACUUAUAGAUGGAUCCGCGCCGCAUUAGCUAGUUGGUAAGGUAACGGCUUACCAAGGCAACGAUGCGUAGCCGACCUGAGAGGGUGAUCGGCCACACUGGAACUGAGACACGGUCCAGACUCCUACGGGAGGCAGCAGUAGGGAAUCUUCCGAAAAGGGCGAAAGCCUGACGGAGCAACGCCGCGUGAGUGAUGAAGGUCUUCGGAUCGUAAAACUCUGUUAUUAGGGAAGAACAAAUGUGUAAGUAACCAUGCACGUCUUGACGGUACCUAAUCAGAAAGCCACGGCUAACUACGUG